This 710-nucleotide ribosomal RNA is filed under the name uncultured bacterium. Its description in RNAcentral is "bacterial SSU rRNA". It matches the Rfam family "Bacterial small subunit ribosomal RNA", at positions 82 to 801 of the family's 1533-position model. The record is from RNAcentral.
GCUAGGUGGAUUAGUGGCGAACGGGUGAGUAAUACGUGAGUGACCUACCUUUGACUCUGGGAUAAGCCUGGGAAACUGGGUCUAAUACCGGAUACGACCAAUCUCCGCAUGGGGUGUUGGUGGAAAGCGUUAUGGAGUGGUUUUAGAUGGGCUCACGGCCUAUCAGCUUGUUGGUGAGGUAAUGGCUUACCAAGGCGACGACGGGUAGCCGGCCUGAGAGGGUGACCGGCCACACUGGGACUGAGACACGGCCCAGACUCCUACGGGAGGCAGCAGUGGGGAAUAUUGCACAAUGGGCGCAAGCCUGAUGCAGCGACGCCGCGUGAGGGAUGACGGCCUUCGGGUUGUAAACCUCUGUUAGCAUCGAAGAAGCGAAAGUGACGGUAGGUGCAGAGAAAGCGCCGGCUAACUACGUGCCAGCAGCCGCGGUAAUACGUAGGGCGCGAGCGUUGUCCGGAAUUAUUGGGCGUAAAGAGCUUGUAGGCGGUUGGUCGCGUCUGCUGUGAAAGGCUGGGGCUUAACCCUGGUUUUGCAGUGGGUACGGGCUAACUAGAGUGCAGUAGGGGAGACUGGAAUUCCUGGUGUAGCGGUGGAAUGCGCAGAUAUCAGGAGGAACACCGAUGGCGAAGGCAGGUCUCUGGGCUGUAACUGACGCUGAGAAGCGAAAGCAUGGGGAGCGAACAGGAUUAGAUACCCUGGUAGUCCAUGCC